GACGGAGGGUGCAAGCGUUGUUCGGAAUUACUGGGCGUAAAGCGCGUGUAGGCGGCAGCGCAAGUCGGGCGUGAAAUCCCACGGCUCAACCGUGGAAGUGCACUCGAAACUGCGCAGCUAGAGUCCUGGAGAGGAAGGUGGAAUGCUUGGUGUAGAGGUGAAAUUCGUAGAUAUCAAGCGGAACACCGGUGGCGAAGGCGACCUUCUGGACAGUGACUGACGCUGAGACGCGAAAGCGUGGGGAGCAAACAGG
RNAcentral lists this ribosomal RNA (253 nucleotides) under uncultured bacterium. Its description in RNAcentral is "partial 16S ribosomal RNA". It matches the Rfam family "Bacterial small subunit ribosomal RNA", at positions 524 to 776 of the family's 1533-position model. The record is from RNAcentral.